CUACGGGAGGCUGCAGUGGGGAAUCUUGCGCAAUGGGCGAAAGCCUGACGCAGCAACGCCGCGUGCGGGAUGAAGGCCUUCGGGCUGUAAACCGCUUUCAGCAGGAACGAAAAUGACGGUACCUGCAGAAGAAGGAGCGGCCAACUACGUGCCAGCAGCCGCGGUGACACGUAGGCUCCAAGCGUUGUCCGGAUUUAUUGGGCGUAAAGAGCUCGUAGGCGGUUGAGUAAGUCGGGUGUGAAAACUCUGGGCUUAACCCGGAGACGCCAUCCGAUACUGCUCUGACUAGAGUUCAGGAGGGGAGUGGGGAAUUCCUAGUGUAGCGGUGAAAUGCGCAGAUAUUAGGAGGAACACCGGUGGCGAAGGCGCCACUCUGGACUGAAACUGACGCUGAGGAGCGAAAGCAUGGGUAGCAAACAGGAUUAGAUACCCGUGUAGUC
RNAcentral lists this ribosomal RNA (440 nucleotides) under uncultured bacterium. RNAcentral describes it as "partial 16S ribosomal RNA". It matches the Rfam family "Bacterial small subunit ribosomal RNA", at positions 339 to 795 of the family's 1533-position model. The record is from RNAcentral.